GUGAACGCUGGCGGUCGGCCUAACCCAUGCAAGUCGAACGGCAGCACAGUAAGAGCUUGCUCUUACGGGUGGCGAGUGGCGGACGGGUGAGGAAUACAUCGGAAUCUACUUUUUCGUGGGGGAUAACGUAGGGAAACUUACGCUAAUACCGCAUACGACCUACGGGUGAAAGCAGGGGAUCUUCGGACCUUGCGCGAUUGAAUGAGCCGAUGUCGGAUUAGCUAGUUGGCGGGGUAAAGGCCCACCAAGGCGACGAUCCGUAGCUGGUCUGAGAGGAUGAUCAGCCACACUGGAACUGAGACACGGUCCAGACUCCUACGGGAGGCAGCAGUGGGGAAUAUUGGACAAUGGGCGCAAGCCUGAUCCAGCCAUACCGCGUGGGUGAAGAAGGCCUUCGGGUUGUAAAGCCCUUUUGUUGGGAAAGAAAAGCAGCAGGUUAAUACCCCGCUGUUCUGACGGUACCCAAAGAAUAAGCACCGGCUAACUUCGUG
RNAcentral lists this ribosomal RNA (491 nucleotides) under uncultured bacterium. Its description in RNAcentral is "partial 16S ribosomal RNA". It matches the Rfam family "Bacterial small subunit ribosomal RNA", at positions 29 to 507 of the family's 1533-position model. The record is from RNAcentral.